CAACGUUCACGUGAACGUUGGCGAGCUCGCUUUGAGAGACAGGGCGCCUG
Molecule: non-coding RNA, 50 nt
Filed under: Aurantiochytrium limacinum
Lineage: Eukaryota; Bigyra; Thraustochytrida; Thraustochytriidae
Source: RNAcentral